RNAcentral lists this ribosomal RNA (253 nucleotides) under uncultured bacterium. Its description in RNAcentral is "partial 16S ribosomal RNA". It matches the Rfam family "Bacterial small subunit ribosomal RNA", at positions 524 to 776 of the family's 1533-position model. The record is from RNAcentral.
UACGGAGGGGGCUAGCGUUGUUCGGAAUUACUGGGCGUAAAGCGCACGUAGGCGGAUCAGCAAGUUAGGGGUGAAAUCCCGGGGCUCAACCACGGAACUGCCUUUAAAACUGUUGGUCUGGAGGUCGAGAGAGGUGAGUGGAAUUCCGAGUGUAGAGGUGAAAUUCGUAGAUAUUCGGAGGAACACCAGUGGCGAAGGCGGCUCACUGGCUCGAUACUGACGCUGAGGUGCGAAAGCGUGGGGAGCAAACAGG